Molecule: ribosomal RNA, 497 nt
Filed under: uncultured bacterium
Lineage: Bacteria
Description: partial 16S ribosomal RNA
Rfam family: Bacterial small subunit ribosomal RNA
Source: RNAcentral
GAUGAACGCUGGCGGCGUGCCUAAUACAUGCAAGUCGAGCGAACAGACGAGGAGCUUGCUCCUCUGACGUUAGCGGCGGACGGGUGAGUAACACGUGGAUAACCUACCUAUAAGACUGGGAUAACUUCGGGAAACCGGAGCUAAUACCGGAUAAUAUAUUGAACCGCAUGGUUCAAUAGUGAAAGACGGUUUUGCUGUCACUUAUAGAUGGAUCCGCGCCGCAUUAGCUAGUUGGUAAGGUAACGGCUUACCAAGUCAACGAUGCGUAGCCGACCUGAGAGGGUGAUCGGCCACACUGGAACUGAGACACGGUCCAGACUCCUACGGGAGGCAGCAGUAGGGAAUCUUCCGCAAUGGGCGAAAGCUUGACGGAGCAACGCCGCGUGAGUGAUGAAGGUCUUCGGAUCGUAAAACUCUGUUAUUAGGGAAGAACAAAUGUGUAAGUAACUAUGCACGUCUUGACGGUACCUAAUCAGAAAGCCACGGCUAACUACGUG